UCUAGUGGGUGUAGCUGGUAUUUCUCCUCCCCUCCCUUGCUUUCUGUCAUGUGAGGUAAUCAGGAAGUUAAUUUAAGAAUCAGGAAGGCUGCUGCCAUGUGCAUGGAAACGCACUAGUCAAAUCCUCUGUCAUCUGUGCUUAUCUUCAGUGCUUGUGAUGGCAUCGUCUAGUUCUAUGUCAUGAACACCUGGAGAAUGCGUCCUUUUACACAAUCUAUAAACCACUGAUAGAUGGCCGGC
Long non-coding RNA from Polypterus senegalus (gray bichir), 240 nucleotides. RefSeq lists it as uncharacterized. The transcript is spliced from 3 exons. NCBI's taxonomy places the organism in Eukaryota, Metazoa, Chordata, Cladistia, Polypteriformes, Polypteridae. The record is from RefSeq and is a predicted model, not a curated record.